Molecule: long non-coding RNA, 1256 nt
Organism: Olea europaea var. sylvestris
Lineage: Eukaryota; Viridiplantae; Streptophyta; Magnoliopsida; Lamiales; Oleaceae
Exons: 2
Source: RefSeq, a predicted model, not a curated record
ACUUCAUAAUUUUUUUUUUUUCUUUUUCAUGCACGAGUCAUUUUAAAUUGAGGAUGGAAUAUAUCUUGACUUGAUUUCAUGACCUGUGGAAGGAAUUCUCUACUACAGAUUUAACUAUAUAGGUCAUUUUUCUUUAUCUAUCUAUAUAAUGUAUAUGUUUUAAUUAUGCAUCGAAUUUUUAAUUGUUGCUGGAAAAAAAUGAAUUUAAUUUUAGGCUUAUUUCCUGUUCUAAUAGCAUAUAUAUGGUUGUCAAAUUUGAUUUUUUUUAUUGGCGGACUGAAUAUUUUUUCAUUCUUUAACUACUACGUCUCUAGCUAAUGGGAAAAUAAUAAAAAUGGAGAAGGAACGCAUGAGCAUUCUUCAGUAAAAUUGGCAAUAGUUGCUGUACGAUUGGCAACAUUCUGCUUGUUGAUGGGCUUCCAAAUGAUUGUGUGAGAAGAGAAAUAGGUCGUAUCCUUGCUAUUGUAUUGCUGUUAAUUCUUUUCUUUGUCUCCUUAUAUUAUUGGUCAGGGUUUGUUUAUGGAAAUGGACAUACAUUUAUUCUACAUUAUGUGCAGGAAUCACUAUCAAUACUAAUCUAUUGUGAUGUUCUAUUGCUGCAGUUACUGGGAGAGGCAUGAUCGAGGUUGAAGAUCAUGGUAUCAGCAGCAGCAUCUUUCCAUGCAUGGUUGCUGAGGGCGAUGUUUGCACUGAGAUCUGUACGCUUGAGAGUAAAAUAGAAUUGGUUGUGACAGAUUCGUUCCCCUGAGGCACUGAAAAAUUAGAAACACAAAAUCAAGCCAUGAAUUUCAUCCAUGAAAUGGGAUGGCUUCUUUUCAAAAAUAGUUUGAAGUCUAGGUUGGAACACUUGGAUCACAACUCAAAGUUCCCAUUUAAAUGGUUCAAGUACCUCAUGAAGUUCUUCGUUGACCAUGAUUCGUGUGUCGUCGUAAAUAAACCCUUGGACAUUCUUUUCAGUGGAAUAGUAGGCGCAAGAGAGUUGCCUUUAUUGAAGUUUGCACUGCAACAGAUGGGCCUUCUUCGCCCAGUGGGCGAACUUACCGACGAAGUAAGAAGCAAGUGAAAAUGAUUAUAGCUUCUUGUUCGUGCUGUCAAGGGCUGCCUAUUUAUUCUUUGCCUUAUAGAGGUUAGAAUUUCAUCCGCCCAGAAGGACUUUGAUGUAUUUAUUUUCUAAUUUCCUUCUUAAUAUUUGCAAUGGAGAAACAAAAUUUCCAACGUCUAUAUUUUCGAGUUUUCUAUAUCAAUUUUCAUAAAUC